UGGGAUGGUGAUGACAGCUGCCGGCGUGUCAGUCUUGGGAAUGAAUAAUUCGUGUCUGAAACGCUGAGGCCCAG
Lepus europaeus (European hare) is the source of this 74-nucleotide small nucleolar RNA. RefSeq annotates it as small nucleolar RNA SNORD113/SNORD114 family. Lineage: Eukaryota; Metazoa; Chordata; Mammalia; Lagomorpha; Leporidae. The transcript has a single exon. The record is from RefSeq and is a predicted model, not a curated record.